CAAACAGCCACCCCCAAAACUAAAGAGAGAGGUGAAUACAGAGAAUCCCAGCUUAGGAGCAGAAGCCAUUGCCAGAGCCAGCAACUGGCCUCCUCUGAUGCCACCCCAGAAGUUAAGUGGAAAGUUGCCCCAUUAUCUACUGAGUCAGAGAAGAAAUCCAGACUCCCCAAGGGGUCUCCACUGAUACCACAGGGGUCAGAGGUGAGUCUCUGCUCUUUAUUCAGCCUUCUCUGACACCACCCUGGUGGAGGGGUGCUUUGGGACACUUCUUUACAGCUUGGUAACAGUAGACAUCUAGGCUCUCUACUCAGUCUUCGCUGGUGGAGUUGGGAUAGGGCCAUAGUUUUUUCUAUGGUGUUUGCCUAGAAUGCAGAAGCUAUUGUCUAAAAUUUUCUGUCUUGUUGAGUUGCCCAUUUCCUGGUCUUUUGGCCAGAAAAACUAGUUUCUUGGUGGGGCUCUUUUGUCUGAACCCACUGGUGUUUCCAAGUUGCUCACUUCUUCAGCUCCAAGUUUAGGAAUCCGAGACAAAAAACAAAACUUAGGGAACUCACUACCAUGCUAUUACUUUGAUCCCAAGGUCCCUAGCUAGCCUUCCUUCUUCUCUCCACCUAUUCAAGUCUUAUGUUUGUUUUAUAUAUAAUGUCCAUGGAUUUUAGUUGUACUUAGGAAGAAUAAGAAAAAGUAUCUCUUCCCAUAAGUAGAAGUCCCCCAUAUGGGAAAUUUUUUCAUCAGUCCUCUGCUUAAAAGCCACAGCCUCUGCACCAACCCUACACUUGCUCAAUCCUGAAAAUGAGUGUUUCCUUAAAUUUUGUACCCCGGGCCCUUCGCAUGUGUUAUCCAGCCCAUAUCUCAACAUAACAUCUUUCCAGCCUCAUCUCCCUCUCCAUUACCCCACAUCCCAUACAUUUUCAUGCCUGUGACCUGGUUAGAUGGCCCUCCCUGUCCCUCGCCUCCUCUAUCUGCUGCAACACCAAUCCUGCAAGACUUCAAUAAAAUGCCAUGUCCUUAUAAAACCUUCACUGAUUUCCGCCUCUCUCCCUCCCGUGUUAAUUGCUCCUCUCCCUAUGUAUCCAUGCCCUUUGUUUGUGCCUAUAUGGAAAUUUGAAUUGUUGACUAGGUGUAGUGGUUCAUGCCUGUAAUCCCAGCACUUUGGAAGGGUAGGGCAAGAGGAUUGGAUUGAGCCCAGGAGUUUGAGAUCAGCCUUGGCAACAUGGUGAGACCCCAUCUCUACAAAAAAUUUUAAAAAUGAAAGUGAAAAUAAAUUAGCCAGAUGUGGUAGCAGAUGUCUGUAGUCCCUACUUGGGUUCAGAGGGAUAUAACCCUAAAUAAGCUUAGUCAUCAUUAAGGAGCUAGGCCCUGUGGACCCUCCCCAUGGGGGUGACUACUUCAUCUCUCGGUUUCCCUCUAUUUCUGUGGUUACUUGAUUGCUGUUGGAUAGUCUGUGGGCUUGUGCAUUUAAAGUUUGCUUUUUCAAGGUGUCUGUGAGCUCUGUGGGGGCAGGAGCUCUGCAACCCUAGGUAUCAGAGAACCUAGAACCUAUCAGGUGCUGGCACAUGUUAUGAUCAAUGACUGAAAUCUGAAUUUUGUCAGUCUGGUACUCACUUUCUCUGACUGAGCCUCUACAUUUAGACAGUGCAGUGACUCAGACACAGCAGUUAAACCCUGACCAAUAUUAUUUCAUUUAUUAAAAAGAAUGCAUACUUUCUACACUGCUUGUAAGUCACCAACAUUUAACUACUUCCAAUGUGUUUUAGUAAUAUCUUUCUGAGUUGUAAUGAAGGCAACCAGGAGGCAAUAACUAAAACCUCUGUUUGAAAGAUGAGGAAACUAAAGCUCAGAGAGUGGAAGUGACUCCCUUGGGUCACACAGCAAGUCACUGGCAGCAAAGAAACUAGGACCUAGUUCUAUAAUCCUUCCCUCCAUCUCCUGCUUCCCAAGUCCAAUGCUCUUCCACCCCCAGCCUUCCUGAACCUUCUGAAAUGAUGUGUUGUUCCCCAUUCCCAGUCCCCCAACUCUAUUAUUCAAAGGCCGUGAUUUUGGCUGUCAGCUGAAAGAUCUGCAAAUAAAUCCCGUUGCAUUUCAUUUAAGGAAGGGGCUGAUUUUUGUGUUGAUGUUUUCAUUCGAAGCAAUAUCUCACUGAUGAUUCACAUGUGGUGACUGCUUAAGAGGAUUGAGAGGGAUGGGGCCAUGUGUUCCAGAUGGCAAAAGGUAGGCAGCAACUGUGCUCAGAAUCAGUGAGUUCAACUUUGCAAAAUGCGAUUCCCGAUACAGGGGCUGGCCUUUUCUCUAUGGAAAUUCUCUGUAAUUCACAUCCACAGGGACUUUCACCCAAGUCAGUUAUUUGCAAACUGCCCAUCCUGUGACUAACACCUGUGACUAACCACUAACAAAUGGUUGCAAACACCCCGAUGCCUGCUAAAUUGCAUCUCUGGUGACAGAAGCAUCCUGGAUCCAAAACUACAUAAGCCUGUGAGCUCCCUACUUGACCCAGUUCCCAUCUCUGUGCCUCCUCCACAGCUCCUUCUGCUCCGCUCCCGGGAAACUUAUCUUUACCUUCAGACUCUUGGUGCAGAUGGGGACCUUGCUAUGGCCCUGGCAAAUGCCAUGAGAAGAGUUGGGUUUUGCCCCAGAGAGAGGAUCUCCUUAACUGAAUCUUUUAUUCUCAGAGAAAUAAAGAUUGUGGUGAACAACA
Long non-coding RNA from Pan troglodytes (chimpanzee), 2692 nucleotides. RefSeq lists it as uncharacterized. The transcript has 2 exons. NCBI's taxonomy places the organism in Eukaryota, Metazoa, Chordata, Mammalia, Primates, Hominidae. The record is from RefSeq and is a predicted model, not a curated record.